This 895-nucleotide ribosomal RNA is filed under the name uncultured fungus. Its description in RNAcentral is "eukaryotic LSU rRNA". The stretch from base 263 to 895 matches the Rfam family "Eukaryotic large subunit ribosomal RNA", at positions 1 to 664 of the family's 3401-position model. The record is from RNAcentral. Lineage: Eukaryota; Fungi.
AUCGAUGAAGAACGCAGCGAAAUGCGAUACGUAAUGUGAAUUGCAGAAUUAGUGAAUCAUCGAAUCUUUGAACGCACAUUGCACCUCUUGGUAUUCCUUGAGGUAUGUCUGUUUGAGCGUCGUUUGCAUUAUUAAGACUUUGUCUUGUGUUGAUUUAACCUGUCAAAGGUCAAAUCGAAAUGUAUUGGCGUUUGCUCUUGUCUUGAUUUGUAGCGAAAUACGAUGACAGUCAAAGAACAAUCGUCUCCCAAACCUUAAAGCAUGACCUCAGAUCAGAUAGGGAUACCCGCUGAACUUAAGCAUAUCAAUAAGCGGAGGAAAAGAAACCAACAGGGAUUGCCUUAGUAACGGCGAGUGAAGCGGCAAAAGCUCAAAUUUGAAAUCUGGCAUCAGCCCGAAUUGUAAUUUGUAGAGGUUAGUUCGGCAAGCAUUUUGGCCCAAGUCUUCUGGAACGGAGCAUCUUGGAGGGUGAGAAUCCCGUACGGUCAAUGUGUUAGCCAUGUGAACUUCCUUCGACGAGUCGAGUUGUUUGGGAAUGCAGCUCUAAUUUGGUGGUAAAUUCCAUCUAAAGCUAAAUAUUGGCCAGAGACCGAUAGCGCACAAGUAGAGUGAUCGAAAGAUGAAAAGCACUUUGGAAAGAGAGUGAAAAAGUACGUGAAAUUGUUGAAAGGGAAGCGCUUGCAAUCAGACUUGUAUACAGUUGUUCAGCUUGUCAUUGACAGGUUCAUUCUUCUGUGUUCAUGCCAACAUCAGUUUGAGCGGUUAGAUAAAGGUUUGGGGAAUGUGAAUCUUCGGAUUGUUAUAGCCCCUUACACAAUAUAACCAGUUUGGACUGAGGUCAGCGUUCGCUAGGAUGUUGGCUUAAUGGUUGUCAGCGGCCCGUCUUGAAACACGG